This 165-nucleotide small nuclear RNA is filed under the name Onthophagus taurus. RNAcentral describes it as "U1 spliceosomal RNA". It matches the Rfam family "U1 spliceosomal RNA". Rfam says of the family: U1 is a small nuclear RNA (snRNA) component of the spliceosome (involved in pre-mRNA splicing). Its 5' end forms complementary base pairs with the 5' splice junction, thus defining the 5' donor site of an intron. There are significant differences in sequence and secondary structure between metazoan and yeast U1 snRNAs, the latter being much longer (568 nucleotides as compared to 164 nucleotides in human). Lineage: Eukaryota; Metazoa; Arthropoda; Insecta; Coleoptera; Scarabaeidae. The record is from RNAcentral.
AUACUUACCUGGCGUAGGGGUUACCGUGAUCAAUAAGGCGGUUCCCCCAGGACGAGGCCCUUCCAUUGCACUUCGGUCGGGCUGACCCCUGCGAUUACCCCUAAUGCGGGUAGCUCGGGCGCGUAAUUUUUGGUAGUCGCGGGUCUGCGUACGCGCUAACCCGGA